RNAcentral lists this ribosomal RNA (274 nucleotides) under uncultured bacterium. RNAcentral describes it as "partial 16S ribosomal RNA". It matches the Rfam family "Bacterial small subunit ribosomal RNA", at positions 523 to 796 of the family's 1533-position model. The record is from RNAcentral.
AUACGGAGGUUCCAAGCGUUAUCCGGAAUCAUUGGGUUUAAAGGGUCCGCAGGCGGUCAAUUAAGUCAGAGGUGAAAGCCCAUCGCUCAACGAUGGAACUGCCUUUGAUACUGGUUGACUUGAGUUAUACGGAAGUAGAUAGAAUAAGUAGUGUAGCGGUGAAAUGCAUAGAUAUUACUUAGAAUACCGAUUGCGAAGGCAGUCUACUACGUAUAUACUGACGCUGAGGGACGAAAGCGUGGGGAGCGAACAGGAUUAGAUACCCCAGUAGUCC